GAGGAGGUAAUUAAUUCCCUAACUCAAAAUCUUUACUGUGUUGCAUCCCAUCCAUUGAGAUAAACCUCAGUCCUGAAAGAAAGGAGAAAGCUAAACAAAACAAUGUCAGCUUCUAGGUUUGCACUGUACGGAAUCGGACCGCAAUCUUCCGUACCCAUCGAACCGUACCUGUAACUGUUAAGUCUUCCUUUAUCUUCUCCAAACCUAUUCCCUUCACGCCACCGCAAUUCCUCCGCCGCACUUCCCCCUCUU
This 252-nucleotide long non-coding RNA is filed under the name Vigna radiata. RNAcentral's name for it is "long non-coding RNA (VRAD_LNC000242)". The record is from RNAcentral. Lineage: Eukaryota; Viridiplantae; Streptophyta; Magnoliopsida; Fabales; Fabaceae.